This 369-nucleotide ribosomal RNA is filed under the name uncultured phototrophic eukaryote. Its description in RNAcentral is "SSU rRNA". It matches the Rfam family "Bacterial small subunit ribosomal RNA", at positions 524 to 896 of the family's 1533-position model. The record is from RNAcentral.
UACGGGGGAUGCAAGCGUUAUCCGGAAUUAUUGGGCGUAAAGCGCCUGUAGGUUGUUUACUAAGUUUGUUGUUAAAGCCUAGGGCUUAACCCUAGAAAAGCAAUGAAAACUGGUAGAUUAGAGUAUGGCAGGGGUAGAGGGAAUUUCUAGUGUAGCGGUGAAAUGCGUAGAUAUUAGAAAGAACACCAGUGGCGAAAGCGCUCUACUGGACCAUUACUGACACUCAGAGGCGAAAGCUAGGGUAGCAAAAGGGAUUAGAUACCCCUGUAGUCCUAGCCGUAAACGAUGGAUACUAGAUGUUGUGUUUAUUUCACAGUAUCGCAGCUAACGCGUUAAGUAUCCCGCCUGGGGAGUACGCUCGCAAGGGUG